AUAAGCAGUAUCUGACCUUGCCAUGACCGGAAAAUAAAAAAUCAUUGCUCAAAAGUGAAAGUAAAAAAUUCGAAGGCCAAUAUUUUGCAGAAAGAAGGCAGAUUCACUUGAAAUUUAGCUUUUAAUAAAUCAAUUAUUGUGUUUUUUAAUAAAUUCUAACCAUUUGAAUCAGGUAUAUGCGCGUGAAAUAAUAUAUAUUUAUUUAUUUCCAACACCACUAUUCCUGUGCAGUAGAGUUACUCCCCUUUACGCGGAAUUAUUACAUUGUUGUUACGGUGAAUUCGGGAGCGAUCUUUUGAGCAGUUUUACGGAUAUCGGUACGAUAAACACAGUAUUUGUUUGGCAGGAAGAGAAAUCGUCUCAUUUGGUAUCGUUGCAGAGAACAUGACUGACAAAGAUCUAUUGGACAGUGAUUAUGAUGGGAUUUCACAAAUACAUGAGCACAGUUACAUUGUGAUAUCGGACUCUGACGAGACACAACCACCUUCACCUUUUGGUUGACAGGAAUAUUCCAGUGAAAGAUCAGUUGUUCAACAGCCUUUUUGACAAACAAAUUCCUGGUGCUGCCAUUCCUAAUCAACCGACAUAUCAGAAUUUUGGAUAAGAAUUCAGAUUACUGGCUGCAUAUUCAACCGUAAGUGUUUUUCCUGUUCAAUUUAACUGCUAAUUCAUAAAUAAAACUUUGUUUAAGAGAAAUAAUAUUACUUAGAAAAUGUUCUUAAAUACCAGGUUGUAUCACAUUUGUAUUGGGUGGGUGGGGCAGUUGUACAUGUUUUGGAUAAUGUUUUUUUUUUAAAUACUAACCAAAUAAGUUUUUGUUUUUUGAACAUUUAUUCUUGUUUUGUUGUACAUUAUUUCAACUGUGAUAUUGAAUCACAUGCACAUUUGCAAUUUAGAAAAAUCAA
This is a long non-coding RNA of Dreissena polymorpha, 905 nucleotides long. RefSeq lists it as uncharacterized. The record is from RefSeq and is a predicted model, not a curated record. Lineage: Eukaryota; Metazoa; Mollusca; Bivalvia; Myida; Dreissenidae. The transcript is spliced from 4 exons.